GCAGCCCUUUGUUCUUCUCCAG
Molecule: microRNA, 22 nt
Filed under: Mus musculus (house mouse)
Lineage: Eukaryota; Metazoa; Chordata; Mammalia; Rodentia; Muridae
Description: mmu-miR-6991-3p
Source: miRBase by way of RNAcentral